Long non-coding RNA from Pistacia vera, 1040 nucleotides. RefSeq lists it as uncharacterized. The record is from RefSeq and is a predicted model, not a curated record. The transcript is spliced from 5 exons. Lineage: Eukaryota; Viridiplantae; Streptophyta; Magnoliopsida; Sapindales; Anacardiaceae.
AAAAAAAAAAGCCAUAGAGAGAAGACCAGUCCCCUGUUUUUAUAGUUCUAAUUUUAGACAGAACGUGAUAAACAAAAUGAUAAUUAUGUUAGAAUAGGCAGUAUUUUGAAAACACUAGAUGAAGUUACAGAGAUGGGGCAUAUGCUUAAAUUCACACACUUAAUCGGACUAUUAUGAUUAGAUGUUACAUGCAGCAUUACUUUGGCUCCAAAGGAAAGGGAAAUGUCUAGCUGCAUGCAAUCUUAUUUCGAGUUUAAAGAAUGCAGCAUUUCUUUGUGAUCUACAAAUAUUAUGUUUCUAAUCCCACAUCUUUCAGUUAACAUGGGAAAUUGUGGAAUAUAAAUAAGGUGAACAAGUAAUGCAGAUCAUGCCACAAGAGACACGUGUGGAUCAAAUUCAUUAACCCAGCCCAGGAAAAUCCUCGGGCCUUCUCUGCAGAGAUGCAGCGUUGUACAAAGGAAAUUCUCUCACUUGUGUAUUUAUCAGUGAAGCUGCAGCAUCAGGCUGCUGAUCAUAAAUGGUACAAGACUUCCUCUGGACGAAAUGUUGCCAAGGAAUGACGCUCUGGGAGGCUAGAUUUUUGUUUGCAACAACGAAAUAAUGCAAGAAGAUCUUUGCCGCCAACUCUUUGGACUUCCACAGGAUUCUAUAAGGGCAAUAACUCCUGGAUUGCCUCUUUUUCUCUAUAGCUAUACUGCUCACUAGCUUAACGAAGUUUUUCAGGCUGUAAGUUUUGGAGGGUCAAACAUUGAGCCAUCUGCAUGGGAAGAUAAAAAGUGCAGAGGAGAAUCAAAGAUUUCCAGCCCAGGCACUCAUGUUAUUGGACUUGUUCAAAGAGGAGGAAAUGUAAAGGAAGAAAAGACGAUUAUAUACUUGAGUUAACAUUAGCUAUAAAAAUGUCAAAGUACUAGGAACAUAAAAUUACUUUAACUUAGAAGAUUAUAUGGAACUUGAAGAUCAUGUAUACUACUACAAAUUAAAUAAAAAUUCAUGUAGAAAAUUACUACAAAAUAUUAUUGUUUGGAAAUUGUGAUACAGUA